Molecule: ribosomal RNA, 490 nt
Filed under: uncultured bacterium
Lineage: Bacteria
Description: partial 16S ribosomal RNA
Rfam family: Bacterial small subunit ribosomal RNA
Source: RNAcentral
AUUGAACGCUGGCGGCAUGCCUUACACAUGCAAGUCGAACGGCAGCAUGAUCUAGCUUGCUUGAUUGAUGGCGAGUGGCGCACGGGUGAGUAAUACAUCGGAACGUGCCCUGUUGUGGGGGAUAACUAGUCGAAAGAUUAUCUAAUACCGCAUACGACCUGAGGGUGAAAGUGGGUGACCGCAAUGCCUCAUGCUUUAGGUGCUUCCGAUGUCUGAUUAGCUUGUUUGUUAGGUAAAGGCUCACCAAGGCGACGAUCAGUAGCUGGUCUGUGAGGACGAUCAGCCACACUGGAACUGAGACACGGCCCAGACUCCUACGGGAGGCAGAAGUGGGGAAUGUUGGACAAUGGGCGAAAGCCUGAUCCAGCAAUGCCGCGUGUGUGAAGAAGGCCUUCGGGUUGUAAAGCACUUUUGUCCGGAAAGAAAUGGCUCUGGUUAAUACCUGGGGUCGAUGACGGUACCGGAAGAAUAAGGACCGGCUAACUACGUG